UAGGGAAUCUUCCACAAUGGACGCAAGUCUGAUGGAGCAACGCCGCGUGAGUGAAGAAGGUUUUCGGACCGUAAAGUCUCUGUUGUUGGUGAAGAAGGAUAGAGGUAGUAACUGGCCUUUAUUUGACGGUAAUCAACCAGAAAGUCACGGCUAACUACGUGCCAGCAGCCGCGGUAAUACGUAGGUGGCAAGCGUUGUCCGGAUUUAUUGGGCGUAAAGCGAGCGCAGGCGGAAGAAUAAGUCUGAUGUGAAAGCCCUCGGCUUAACCGAGGAAUUGCAUCGGAAACUGUUUUCUUGAGUGCAGAAGAGGAGAGUAGAAACUCCAUGUGUAGCGGUGGAAUGCGUAGAUAUAUGGAAGAAUACCAGUGGCGAAGGCGGCUCUCUGGUCUGCAACUGACGCUGAGGCUCGAAAAGCAUGGGUAGCGAACAGGAUUAGAUACCCUGGUAGUCCAUGCCGUAAACGAUGAGUGCUAAGUGUUGGGAGGCUUCCGCCUCUCAGUGCUGCAGCUAACGCAUUAAGCACUCCGCCUGGGGGAGUACGACCGCAAG
Molecule: ribosomal RNA, 549 nt
Filed under: uncultured bacterium
Lineage: Bacteria
Description: partial 16S ribosomal RNA
Rfam family: Bacterial small subunit ribosomal RNA
Source: RNAcentral